Molecule: ribosomal RNA, 443 nt
Filed under: uncultured bacterium
Lineage: Bacteria
Description: partial 16S ribosomal RNA
Rfam family: Bacterial small subunit ribosomal RNA
Source: RNAcentral
CCUACGGGAGGCAGCAGUGGGGAAUAUUGGGCAAUGGGCGCAAGCCUGACCCAGCAACGCCGCGUGAAGGAUGAAGGCUUUCGGGUUGUAAACUUCUUUUGUCAGGGACGAAGCAAGUGACUGAACCUUACGAAUAAGCCACGGCUAACUACGUGCCAGCCGCCGGGAUAAUACGGAGGUGGCGAGCGUUCUCCGGAUUUACUGGGUGGAAAGGGCGUGUAGGCGGGAAAGCAAGUUAUAUGUGAAAACCACGGGCUCAACCGGUGACCUGCAUUUGAAACUGUUUUUCUUGAGUGCAGGAGAGGGAAGUGGAAUUCCGGGUGUAGCGGUGGAAUGCGUAGAUAUACGGAGGAACACCAGUGGCGAAGGCGGAUUGCUGGACAGUAACUGACGCUGAGGCGCGAAAGCGUGGGGAGCAAACAGGAUUAGAUACCCCAGUAGUC